This 544-nucleotide small RNA is filed under the name Pan troglodytes (chimpanzee). RNAcentral's name for it is "processed transcript". Lineage: Eukaryota; Metazoa; Chordata; Mammalia; Primates; Hominidae. The record is from RNAcentral.
AUUCAUUACAAACUCUAACAUGGACAUAGAUUUUCAUCUCUCUUCAGUAUAUAGCUAGGAGUGUAUUGCUGGGUCACAUGGUAACUCUAUGUUUAACUUUUUGAGCAGCAGCCAGUUUUCCACAGUAGCUGUACCAUUUUACAUUCCUCCCAGCAAUGUCCCCAUUUUUCCACAUUCUUGCCAACACUUGUUAUUAUCUAUCUUUUUUAUUAUACUUAUCCUAGUGGAGGCAGCAGUUGGGGACAGCUGUAGAAUUGGAAAUGGCCAAGAUGCUUGAGGAAAAUACAAAUAUCCUUAAAUUUGGAUAUCAGUUUACACAGCAGGGACCACGAACCAGAGCAGCUAAUGCUAUAACAAAAAACAAUGACUUAGUGCGUAAGAGACGAGUUGAAGGAGAUCACCAGUAAGUCUGCAAAGGUGUAAUCUUUGGAAGACUUCAGAAGAUCACCAAGGGCUCAUAGACUGCACAGUUCCAGCAAGAUUGGGAGUCAGGCAUGGAGCAGGCAUCUCAGGCUACCAGAAAGAAUUGGUCACCUAGACUUUC